AAAUGAAUAGACGGGGGCCCGCACAAGCAGCGGAGCAUGUGGUUUAAUUCGAAGCAACGCGAAGAACCUUACCUAGACUUGACAUCUCCUGAAUUACCCGUAACUGGGGAAGCUCUUCGGAGCAGGAAGACAGGUGGUGCAUGGUUGUCGUCAGCUCGUGUCGUGAGAUGUUGGGUUAAGUCCCGUAACGAGCGCAACCCUUAUUUUUAGUUGCUACCAUUAAGUUGAGCACUCUAAAGAGACUGCCCGGGUUAACCGGGAGGAAGGUGGGGAUGACGUCAAAUCAUCAUGCCCCUUAUGUCUAGGGCAACACACGUGCUACAAUGGUGAGAACAAAGAGACGCAAAAUCGCAAGGUCAAGCAAAUCUCAUAAAACUCAUCCCAGUUCGGAUUGCAGGCUGAAACUCGCCUGCAUGAAGUCGGAGUUGCUAGUAAUCGCGAAUCAGAAUGUCGCGGUGAAUACGUUCCCGGGCCUUGUACACACCGCCCGU
Molecule: ribosomal RNA, 491 nt
Filed under: uncultured bacterium
Lineage: Bacteria
Description: bacterial SSU rRNA
Rfam family: Bacterial small subunit ribosomal RNA
Source: RNAcentral